This is a non-coding RNA of Acanthosepion pharaonis, 107 nucleotides long. Lineage: Eukaryota; Metazoa; Mollusca; Cephalopoda; Sepiida; Sepiidae. The record is from the annotation of a GenBank genome assembly.
CGGACAUACCACGUUGAAACACCGGCCCCCGUACGAUUACCGAGAUUAAGCAACCUCGAGGCUGGUCAGUACUUAGAUGGGUGACCGCCUGGAUGUGCGGGUAGUGU